GAUGAACGCUGGCGGCGUGCCUAAUACAUGCAAGUCGAGCGAACAGACGAGGAGCUUGCUCCUCUGACGUUAGCGGCGGACGGGUGAGUAACACGUGGAUAACCUACCUAUAAGACUGGGAUAACUUCGGGAAACCGGAGCUAAUACCGGAUAACAUGUUGAACCGCAUGGUUCAACAGUGAAAGACGGUCUUGCUGUCACUUAUAGAUGGAUCCGCGCCGCAUUAGCUAUUUGGUAAGGUAACGGCUUACCAAGGCAACGAUGCGUAGCCGACCUGAGAGGGUGAUCGGCCACACUGGAACUGAGACACGGUCCAGACUCCUACGGGAGGCAGCAGUAGGGAAUUUUCCGCAAUGGGCGAAAGCCUGACGGAGCAACGCCGCGUGAGUGAAGAAGGUCUUCGGAUCGUAAAACUCUGUUAUUAGGGAAGAACAAAUGUGUAAGUAACUAUGCACGUCUUGACGGUACCUAAUCAGAAAGCCACGGCUAACUACGUG
This 497-nucleotide ribosomal RNA is filed under the name uncultured bacterium. RNAcentral's name for it is "partial 16S ribosomal RNA". It matches the Rfam family "Bacterial small subunit ribosomal RNA", at positions 28 to 507 of the family's 1533-position model. The record is from RNAcentral.